UUACUAUCAUCUUUAUCUCAACUUACACAUGCAAGUAUCCGCAUCCCCGUGAGAACGCCCUUUCCCCUUAAUAGGAUAAGGAGCUGGUAUCAGGCACAGGCCCCCUAGCCCAUGACACCUAGCUUUGCCACACCCUCAAGGGUAUUCAGCAGUGAUUAACAUUGUUUAUAAGCGCCAGCUUGACUCAGUUAGAGAAUUAAGAGCCGGCCAAUACGGUGCCAGCCGCCGCGGCUACACCGCUAGGCUCAAGUUGAUAUUACUCGGCGUUAAGCGUGUUUAAAGUGCUACAAAUAAUUAGAAUUAAACUUAAACCAAGUUGUGACACGCUUGUUUCUAAGAAAAACAUAAACGAAAGUUAUUCUAAUUUAACCACUUGAACCCACGACAGCUAGGACACAAACUGGGAUUAGGUACCCCACUAUGCCUAGCCGUAAAAUAUUUACUUACACCUUUAACCGCCCGGGAAUUACGAGCCCAAGCUUAAAACCCAAAGGACUUGACGGUGUCCCACCCACCUAGAGGAGCCUGUUCUAUAAUCGAUUCUCCCCGAUACACCUCACCACUUCUAGCCUCUCAGCCUGUAUACCUCCGUCGUAAGCUUACCAUAUGAACGAUUUUUAGUGAGCUAAAAGAUUUACGCAUAAACACGUCAGGUCAAGGUGCAGCCAACGAAAUGGUAAGCAAUGGGCUACAAUUUCUAUAAUUAGAACACACGAAAGACUACAUGCAACUCAGUCAUGAAGGCGGAUUUAGCAGUAAAAAGAAAAUAGAGAGUUCUUUUUAAUUAGGCACUGGGACGCGUACACACCGCCCGUCACCCUCUUCAAACGCUCCAGCUCAGUUUAUAACACCACUAUGCACCAUAGAAGAGGUAAGUCGUAACAUGGUAAGCGUACUGGAAAGUGCGCUUGGAUAAACAAA
RNAcentral lists this non-coding RNA (921 nucleotides) under Microhyla minuta (tiny narrow-mouth frog). Its description in RNAcentral is "partial small subunit ribosomal RNA". It matches the Rfam family "Bacterial small subunit ribosomal RNA". The record is from RNAcentral. Lineage: Eukaryota; Metazoa; Chordata; Amphibia; Anura; Microhylidae.